GGUGUGUUCUACAGUCAUCUGCAAUGGGACCAAGGGAACGAAACAGUGACCUGGCUUGUUAGAAGAGGAUUAUUGUUCAUGGCAAAUCAUUGAAAUAGGAAGGCAACUUUGAUUUGUUCUCAGCGGCAUAUUUCAGAACAUGACUAAUACCAUCCUGUCCAUCUCCUUUGGUGAUGUAUGGACUCUGAAUUUGGGUGCAUCUUUUAAAGGUAUGUGUUAACCAAUCUUACUCUAAUUCAAUAGAUAUAGGGAAUAGUGAAGCUAUUUUGUGUGCCAGAUCCAGAAUUACUGGUGAAACACUCUGGCUGUGUUUGACAUGAAGAAACAAUAUUCCACAUAAGCUCAUUCUGUUCAUGGGAAAAAUGCUUUCAUGACUCUCUUCACUGUGUAAGAUGCUUUUAUGAAAAUUACUAAUAUUGACUCACUAGAAAAGGAUACAAAAAGCCAUUUGCUUAAGCAUUUUGGCAAUGUGCCCAUGAAACAAUUUGAAGAAUAUUAUUAAAUCCUUCCAUUUUACUUCUUAUUGCAUUACAAUUCAAAAAUAUAUACAUGUGCUCCCUGCUGGUUUAUCAAGAAUAUGUGUUUAUAACCAUUUUAUAGACAGUUGUUUAAAAGUCUGAAUAGAACACCUAGGGAGGGAUUACAAUUCAAAAUAUUUUGAACUUUUCUAUUAAAUUACCAUGUGCCUUAAAAUCGCCCUUAAAAGAGACAGGAUGAAUAGACCAAAGUAAACUAUGUUAGGAAACAUGAGGUAUGGCAUGUGAUAGAAUCCGUAAUACAGCAGGGAGAGAAAAGAAAGAUUACAUGAUAGAGUUACUGAAAGAUCAAAAGGUUCUGAAGUUUCAAAGAUUAACAUUAAAAGGCCAUGUGUCCAACAACAACAACAACAAAUUAUAAACACCUACUAUAAGACUAUAAAUAGCCUAGAAACUGGGUGAAAACAUAUGCAAG
RNAcentral lists this long non-coding RNA (951 nucleotides) under Homo sapiens (human). RNAcentral's name for it is "HSALNT0139610". Lineage: Eukaryota; Metazoa; Chordata; Mammalia; Primates; Hominidae. The record is from RNAcentral.